RNAcentral lists this long non-coding RNA (1323 nucleotides) under Chinchilla lanigera (long-tailed chinchilla). Its description in RNAcentral is "lncRNA (ENSCLAG00000022271.1)". The record is from RNAcentral. Lineage: Eukaryota; Metazoa; Chordata; Mammalia; Rodentia; Chinchillidae.
CGUCUCUACCCUCAUGUGUAGACUCAGCAGAGUCAAAGCCACAUCUAGCUCAGAGGACUCUGUGUUUCAGGGUCUCAUCUCUGGUCCUUUGCUGACGUCUCAUGUGUCCAGGCUAUCAUGGGUGGAGCCAUAGAGAAGCAAGGUCACAAGGUUUCAGCAAGGUCUUUCUCAACUUACUUAAAUUGUGGCUGGAAAGUGGAGGCCAUGCUGAGCCUCUGAAGGAGGACGGGGGAAGUUGUGACACAGCUCCAUCUGGCCCAUGAAACUGUGUGAAAGCAGGACACUUGGCUAUCCAGAACAUAUCAACUCAAGUAUGGAAAAAAAUCCAUAUCCAUAUAGAAAGAAAGACUGGAAGGAAAUACACCUGUAUAUGUUAUUAAUGGCUACUGAUCAACUGUGAGAUUUUGAGGUAUUGUUUAUUCAUUUUUCUAUAUUUCCAUAUUUGAUAUAUUAUGUAUUCACUUUCCCAUAUCUUUAUGACUUUUUUCUCAGAACAAAUUAUUUUUAUUCAAUUACUUUAUAUAUCUUAUAGCAAAAGUUAAAACAUGUUUGGAAGAAUUCUGAUGACACAGAAAGAACACAGCUUAAAAAUCAAAGUUCUUUUCUCCUCACAAGUUUUCCUGCAACUGGACAUCAUACUGACAAUAGCUAUUAAGUAUUUAAAUAAAAUUUUCCACUGUUUUCUGUAAAUUAAUAAAAAAGGCAUACAUAAAAAUGAUUUAUUUUGUUUCAGGUUUUACAGAAAUAGGAUCAUAUUCUGUGGCUUUCUCCUUUCAAUAAUAUAUUUGGACAUUGUCCACAUAAUUCAUAUGUCACUUUAAAAUGACAUGUAUAUAUUGAAUUAAUGUUUAUUAAUUCAUUUCCAUAUUGCCAGAUUUUUUAGAUUGUUUCUAAUUUUUUAUUGUUAUCAUAAUGGUGCCUAAAAGUUCCUGUAUGUAUAUCAAAGUUCCUUGAAAAGUACUUUUGUAAGAGUCCUAGGAAUAAAAAUAAUGGAUUACAUGUUAUAAUAUUUAAAUUUUCAUAAAGAUUGACAAACUGCUCUCCAAAAGCUUGUUUAUUUUCAUUUCCAGUAUAGCUGCAAGAGUGAUCAUUUGCCAUAUUCCUACCAACACUGGAUAAAUCUUUUCAACUUUUUCUAAUUAAAUAUGAAAAUGAAAACGACAGUAUGUCACUUUACCGAAUUGAACAUCUUUUCAUUAUUCUACCCAUUGAUCACUUUGUCCCUUUAAUGUGUGAAGUAGCCACCCACAUCUUUUAUGUAUUUUUCAAAUUAUCUUUCCUAUUGAUUCUCAGUUCUCUACACUGUGCACAUUUUAACAUUGA